CGACGUGAGGGAACCUGCCUUUCAGAGGGGGGACAACAGUUGGAAACGACUGCUAAUACCGCAUAACACAUAGGUGUCGCAUGGCAUUUAUGUCAAAGAUUUAUCGCUGAAAGAUGGCCUCGCGUCUGAUUAGCUAGUUGGUGAGGUAACGGCUCACCAAGGCGACGAUCAGUAGCCGGACUGAGAGGUUGGCCGGCCACAUUGGGACUGAGAUACGGCCCAGACUCCUACGGAAGGCAGCAG
Molecule: ribosomal RNA, 243 nt
Filed under: uncultured bacterium
Lineage: Bacteria
Description: partial 16S ribosomal RNA
Rfam family: Bacterial small subunit ribosomal RNA
Source: RNAcentral